GAUGAACGCUCGCUACAGGCUUAACACAUGCAAGUCGAGGGGCAGCAUGAACUUAGCUUGCUAAGUUUGAUGGCGACCGGCGCACGGGUGAGUAACACGUAUCCAACCUGCCGAUGACUCGGGGAUAGCCUUUCGAAAGAAAGAUUAAUACCCGAUGGCAUAGUUCUUCCGCAUGGUAGAACUAUUAAAGAAUUUCGGUCAUCGAUGGGGAUGCGUUCCAUUAGGUUGUUGGCGGGGUAACGGCCCACCAAGCCUUCGAUGGAUAGGGGUUCUGAGAGGAAGGUCCCCCACAUUGGAACUGAGACACGGUCCAAACUCCUACGGGAGGCAGCAGUGAGGAAUAUUGGUCAAUGGACGAGAGUCUGAACCAGCCAAGUAGCGUGAAGGAUGACUGCCCUAUGGGUUGUAAACUUCUUUUAUACGGGAAUAAAGUGAGACACGUGUGCCUUUUUGUAUGUACCGUAUGAAUAAGGAUCGGCUAACUCCGUG
RNAcentral lists this ribosomal RNA (489 nucleotides) under uncultured bacterium. RNAcentral describes it as "partial 16S ribosomal RNA". It matches the Rfam family "Bacterial small subunit ribosomal RNA", at positions 28 to 507 of the family's 1533-position model. The record is from RNAcentral.